This 1355-nucleotide ribosomal RNA is filed under the name uncultured bacterium. RNAcentral describes it as "bacterial SSU rRNA". It matches the Rfam family "Bacterial small subunit ribosomal RNA", at positions 28 to 1381 of the family's 1533-position model. The record is from RNAcentral.
AUUGAACGUUUGCGGCAGGCUUAACACAUGCAAGUCGAACGAUGACUCUCUAGCUUGCUAGAGAAGAUUAGUGGCGGACGGGUGAGUAACAUUUAGGAAUCUGCCUAGUAGUGGGGGAUAGCUCGGGGAAACUCGAAUUAAUACCGCAUACAACCUACGGGUGAAAGGGGGCGCAAGCUCUUGCUAUUAGAUGAGCCUAAAUCAGAUUAGCUAGUUGGUGGGGUAAAGGCCCACCAAGGCGACGAUCUGUAACUGGUCUGAGAGGAUGAUCAGUCACACCGGAACUGAGACACGGUCCGGACUCCUACGGGAGGCAGCAGUGGGGAAUAUUGGACAAUGGGGGCAACCCUGAUCCAGCCAUGCCGCGUGUGUGAAGAAGGCCUUUUGGUUGUAAAGCACUUUAAGCAGGGAGGAGAGGCUAAUGGUUAAUACCCAUUAGAUUAGACGUUACCUGCAGAAUAAGCACCGGCUAACUCUGUGCCAGCAGCCGCGGUAAUACAGAGGGUGCGAGCGUUAAUCGGAAUUACUGGGCGUAAAGCGAGUGUAGGUGGCUCAUUAAGUCACAUGUGAAAUCCCCGGGCUUAACCUGGGAACUGCAUGUGAUACUGGUGGUGCUAGAAUAUGUGAGAGGGAAGUAGAAUUCCAGGUGUAGCGGUGAAAUGCGUAGAGAUCUGGAGGAAUACCGAUGGCGAAGGCAGCUUCCUGGCAUAAUAUUGACACUGAGAUUCGAAAGCGUGGGUAGCAAACAGGAUUAGAUACCCUGGUAGUCCACGCCGUAAACGAUGUCUACUAGCCGUUGGGGUCCUUGAGACUUUAGUGGCGCAGUUAACGCGAUAAGUAGACCGCCUGGGGAGUACGGCCGCAAGGUUAAAACUCAAAUGAAUUGACGGGGGCCCGCACAAGCGGUGGAGCAUGUGGUUUAAUUCGAUGCAACGCGAAGAACCUUACCUGGUCUUGACAUAGUGAGAAUCUUUCAGAGAUGAGAGAGUGCCUUCGGGAAUUCACAUACAGGUGCUGCAUGGCUGUCGUCAGCUCGUGUCGUGAGAUGUUGGGUUAAGUCCCGCAACGAGCGCAACCCUUUUCCUUAUUUGCCAGCGGGUUAAGCCGGGAACUUUAAGGAUACUGCCAGUGACAAACUGGAGGAAGGCGGGGACGACGUCAAGUCAUCAUGGCCCUUACGACCAGGGCUACACACGUGCUACAAUGGUAGGUACAGAGGGUUGCUACACAGCGAUGUGAUGCUAAUCUCAAAAAGCCUAUCGUAGUCCGGAUUGGAGUCUGCAACUCGACUCCAUGAAGUCGGAAUCGCUAGUAAUCGCAGAUCAGAAUGCUGCGGUGAAUACGUUCCCGGGCCU